Non-coding RNA from Nicotiana tabacum (common tobacco), 742 nucleotides. NCBI's taxonomy places the organism in Eukaryota, Viridiplantae, Streptophyta, Magnoliopsida, Solanales, Solanaceae. The record is from RefSeq and is a predicted model, not a curated record.
UUCAUACACAUUUCAAGCCAUCAAUCUCCCUCUCUCUCUCUCUCUGUGUACUGCUGAUUUGUGUCUCUUAAUUUCAAAUAAUUUCAAGUGUUGAAGUUUCUUAAUUAGUUGAUUAAUGCAAAAUGGGAGCAGUUACUGUGAUCAAGAACUCGCAUUCUCCUUCCUCCAGUUCUUCAAAAUCUUGUCGCAAUAUGAUGGAGAAAGGAUUGGAAUCAAGUUACGUACCAACUAAAGAAAUAAACAACAUGAAAAAUGAAAGAGUUAAUAAGUCUUAAGGCUAAUACUAGUACUAUUAGUACUGCAGCAUUAAAGAAGCAUUGCCUAUGUGCACCCACCACCCACCCUGGUUCAUUCAAGUGUCGUCUUCACCGCGCCGCCACCACUACUACAUCUCACAAAAGAAUCGUUUCAUCAUCAACUCGUCACGUAUAUGGCGUCAAAUAUAGUAAGGACUUGAAUAUCACAAAGUUAGUAGCGCCAUCAAAAGGUGGCGGAGUCAGGAAUUUUAACGAGGCGAAUGUACAUGGCCAACACGGGCUAUCAAGAUUCGGUAGGGCUGCUCUUGCUGCUGCUGCUACAACUUCUAGUGUACAAGUUCAAACAAUUUCAGCAGCAUUGAGACAAAUGAGUCGAGCCAAAAGAAGAAAAUAAUAAAUUCAAAAUUAUGAUUCUGCUUUUAGAAAAAAAAAUACUUGAUUACUAUAGCUUAGUAUUUUUAUGUAAAUGGAGUAAUUUUCCUUUU